RNAcentral lists this ribosomal RNA (415 nucleotides) under uncultured bacterium. Its description in RNAcentral is "bacterial SSU rRNA". It matches the Rfam family "Bacterial small subunit ribosomal RNA", at positions 355 to 787 of the family's 1533-position model. The record is from RNAcentral.
UGGGGAAUAUUGCACAAUGGGGGAAACCCUGAUGCAGCGACGCCGCGUGAAGGAAGAAGUAUCUCGGUAUGUAAACUUCUAUCAGCAGGGAAGAUAAUGACGGUACCUGACUAAGAAGCCCCGGCUAACUACGUGCCAGCAGCCGCGGUAAUACGUAGGGGGCAAGCGUUAUCCGGAUUUACUGGGUGUAAAGGGAGCGUAGACGGCAUGGCAAGUCUGAUGUGAAAGGCAGGGGCUCAACUCCUGGACUGCAUUGGAAACUGCCGGGCUUGAGUGCCGGAGGGGUAAGCGGAAUUCCUAGUGUAGCGGUGAAAUGCGUAGAUAUUAGGAGGAACACCAGUGGCGAAGGCGGCUUACUGGACGGUAACUGACGUUGAGGCUCGAAAGCGUGGGGAGCAAACAGGAUUAGAUACCC